RNAcentral lists this ribosomal RNA (253 nucleotides) under uncultured bacterium. RNAcentral describes it as "partial 16S ribosomal RNA". It matches the Rfam family "Bacterial small subunit ribosomal RNA", at positions 524 to 776 of the family's 1533-position model. The record is from RNAcentral.
GACAGAGGUCUCAAGCGUUAGGCGGAAUCACUGGGCUUAAAGCGUGUGUAGGCGGAUCGUUAAGUGCCUUGUGAAAUCCCACAGCUCAACUGUGGAACUGCUUGGCAUACUGGCGGUCUUGAGCCAUCUAGGGGUCGCUGGAACAAACGGUGGAGCGGUGAAAUGCGUAGAUAUCGUUUGGAACGCCAAUGGUGAAAACAGGCGACUGGGGAUGUGCUGACGCUGAGACACGAAAGCCAGGGGAGCAAACGGG